UGGGUCUAAAACAGAAAGACUGAUUCUGAGC
Molecule: non-coding RNA, 31 nt
Filed under: Rattus norvegicus (Norway rat)
Lineage: Eukaryota; Metazoa; Chordata; Mammalia; Rodentia; Muridae
Source: RNAcentral